CUGCGGAGGGACAUUA
RNAcentral lists this ribosomal RNA (16 nucleotides) under Alternaria infectoria. RNAcentral describes it as "partial 18S ribosomal RNA". RNAcentral also lists the same sequence under 1 other name. The record is from RNAcentral. Lineage: Eukaryota; Fungi; Ascomycota; Dothideomycetes; Pleosporales; Pleosporaceae.